GCCAUCUCUCAUGCGGAGAUCACGUCCAAGAUCCUCACCGGCCUCGAUCUGGAAUAUAAUCCAGUCGUGUCGGUGCUCGCGGCUCAGGUGGAGCCUGUUACGAUUCAGGAGCUCUAUAGUGUGCUUCUGAGUUUUGAUG
Molecule: non-coding RNA, 139 nt
Organism: Hordeum vulgare subsp. vulgare (domesticated barley)
Lineage: Eukaryota; Viridiplantae; Streptophyta; Magnoliopsida; Poales; Poaceae
Source: Rfam